Molecule: ribosomal RNA, 778 nt
Filed under: uncultured Neocallimastigales
Lineage: Eukaryota; Fungi; Neocallimastigomycota; Neocallimastigomycetes; Neocallimastigales
Description: partial large subunit ribosomal RNA
Rfam family: Eukaryotic large subunit ribosomal RNA
Source: RNAcentral
UUGUGUAUCAGUACAUGGCAUAUCAAUAAGCGGAGGAAAAGAAACUAACAAGGAUUCCCCUAGUAACGGCGAGUGAAGCGGGAAGAGCUCAAAUUUGAAAUCUUCAAGGGUUUCCCUUGACGAAUUGUAGUUUAAAGAAGUGUUUUCUGUUAGAGAGGUGGUAAAAGUUCUUUGGAAUAGGACAUCAUAGAGGGUGAGAAUCCCGUAUUUGACCAUUAUUUCCAACUUUGUGAUACACUUUCAAAGAGUCGGAUUGUUUGGGAAUGCAGUCCAAAAUGGGUGGUAAAUUUCAUCUAAAGCUAAAUACUGGCGAGAGACCGAUAGCGAACAAGUACCGUGAGGGAAAGAUGAAAAGAACUUUGAAAAGAGAGUUAAACAGUACGUGAAAUUGUCAAAAGGGAAGCGUUUGACACCAGUGUUGUUUUCUCGAAAAUCAAUUAAAAAUGGUGGGAUGUUGUGUUGUAUUGACUUUAUCAGCUUUCUGCACUUUUUUUCCUAUCCUUUUUAAUGCACUUUUCGUUUAACAAGUCAACAUCAAUUUCUUUUGUUGUAAAAGAGUUAAUAGGAAGGUGGCUUUACUUUCGGAGUAAAGUGUUUAUAGCCUUUGACUCUGCAAUCGGAGAGAUUGAGGUCUGCAGCGUAGAUCCUUCGGGGUUAGAUACAUUUGUGCUAAGUUAUAGCCUUUUCAUAGACAACAUUGUUGACUAUGAUCAUCAUGUAGCUUACUCGCUUAUGUCAUUUUACCUACGCUUAGGAUGUUGACAGCAGUAUAGACUGU